RNAcentral lists this ribosomal RNA (712 nucleotides) under uncultured archaeon. RNAcentral's name for it is "bacterial SSU rRNA". It matches the Rfam family "Archaeal small subunit ribosomal RNA", at positions 86 to 799 of the family's 1478-position model. The record is from RNAcentral.
CUGCUCAGUAACACGUGGACAAUCUGCCCUAUCGUGGUGAAUAAUCUCGGGAAACUGAGGGUAAUACACCAUAGGCCUCCGGCACUGGAAUGUCUGGAGACCCAAAGCUCCGGCGCGAUAGGAUGAGUCUGCGGAUGAUUAGCUAGUAGGCGGUGUAAUGGACCACCUAGGCUAUAAUCAUUAAGGGUCUUGAGAGAGAUAGCCCUGAGACGGAAUCUGAGACACUAUCCCGAGCCUUACGGGGUGCAGCAGGCGCGAAAACUUUGCAAUACACGAAAGUGUGACAAGGGGAUUCCAAGUGUGCAUAUACCAUAUGCACUUUUUCGAAGUUUAAAACGCUUUGGGAAUAAGGGGUGGGCAAGACUAGUGCCAGCCGCCGCGGUAAAACUAGCAUCUCGAGUGGCAGCCACAAUUACUGGGCUUAAAGCGUCCGUAGCUCGUUCAGAAAGUCCCCGGUGAAAUCCUAUGGCUUAACCAUAGGGCUUGCCAGGGAAACUCCUGGACUUGAAGGCAGGAGAGGUCAGGGGUACGUCCGGGGUAGGGGUGAAAUCCUAUAAUCCUAGACGGACCAACAGUGGCGAAGGCGCCUGACAUGAAUGCGCUUGACAGUGAGGGACGAGAGCCAGGGUCGCGAAACGGAUUAGAUACCCGUGUAGUCCUGGCCGUAAACGAUGUUGACUAAGGUGGGGCGUGACCUUAGCGGUCAUGCUAU